CGAAUUCUGGAUUGUUGCUAAUAGGAAACAGGUUUUCCUGUUGCUUUCACUGUGGAUUCAGCUUUCUCCAGUGCAGUUUGGGCUGUUGCUCUUUUUUCUUCUUUCAAUGACCACAGAGGUCUUUCCAUGUGCAGCCUGUUGCAAAUCAGUAUUUGGUAUUUGUUUGAAUUCAGAAUCUCAUUGCGUAGCGUGCUUACAAAGGGAAAUAAAUGUGACAGGAGGAAGAAACAAUCUUUCUACGUUGAAAAUGACCAUAAAUUCUACUCACACACUCAGGAGAAUCCCGUGAAGUUGGUCAGUUUUGGCAGCUCACAUACUGAAUUUUAGAUGAUGCAGAGAAAUGUAGUGUGGUCCCCGAGCAAGACUGAUGUGUGGAUUUGAGGACUGGCUCUGUCUCUGUAGCUAUGAAAAGCGUAGCUGAAUGCUGCAUUGAAGAACUUGGUUCUGUCACUACUUUUGCUGCAAGUCUCCUAGACUCGAAUUUUUAGAAAUAUUUGUAAAAGUUUAUUUUCUUGGUGUUGAGCGUGGAGCCUGACUUGCAUAAAUAUUGUAUAGUAUUAUUGCAGUUGAGGUCAGUAGGAGCUCUGUUUAAAACAUGUAAAGCUCUAUAGAAAUGUAUGUGUUGGGUAUUCUGAAAUACCUCUGCCUUUGAUCUAGAAAUAAAAAGUUGCAAAUAUUUUA
Long non-coding RNA from Calidris pugnax (ruff), 681 nucleotides. RefSeq lists it as uncharacterized. The transcript has 2 exons. The record is from RefSeq and is a predicted model, not a curated record. Lineage: Eukaryota; Metazoa; Chordata; Aves; Charadriiformes; Scolopacidae.